This 369-nucleotide ribosomal RNA is filed under the name uncultured bacterium. RNAcentral's name for it is "bacterial SSU rRNA". It matches the Rfam family "Bacterial small subunit ribosomal RNA", at positions 527 to 896 of the family's 1533-position model. The record is from RNAcentral.
GAAGGGGGCUAGCGUUGUUCGGAAUCACUGGGCGUAAAGGGCGCGUAGGCGGCGCGACAAGUCAGGCGUGAAAGCCCCGGGCUCAACCCGGGAAUUGCGCUUGAUACUGUCGUGCUUGAGGCCGGGAGAGGAUGGCGGAAUUCCCAGUGGAGAGGUGAAAUUCGUAGAUAUUGGGAAGAACACCGGUGGCGAAGGCGGCCAUCUGGACCGGUUCUGACGCUGAGGCGCGAAAGCGUGGGGAGCAAACAGGAUUAGAUACCCUGGUAGUCCACGCCGUAAACGAUGAGUGCUAGACGUCGGGGGGUUCACCUUCCGGUGUCGCAGCUAACGCUUUAAGCACUCCGCCUGGGGAGUACGGGCGCAAGAUUA